RNAcentral lists this long non-coding RNA (1216 nucleotides) under Ananas comosus (pineapple). RNAcentral's name for it is "long non-coding RNA (ACOM_LNC013069)". Lineage: Eukaryota; Viridiplantae; Streptophyta; Magnoliopsida; Poales; Bromeliaceae. The record is from RNAcentral.
AUCUGAGGGAUUUUUUUGCAUUUAGUUCCUGACAAAUUUUUAUUUUAAAAUUAGUCUUGUCAAAAUUUAAUUUAUAAAAAUGACCCUAGGCCUGCCACGCNAUUCACGGAAAGAGCAAUGCUAGCUCUACAUCAGUUUUAGAGUUGUAACUGUAUUCCCGGAAGCCUCUUGCUUUGAUAUCUUUAUCUGAGGGAUUUUUGCAUUUUGCCCUCUCAAAAAAAAUUAUUUUUACAAAUAAUCUCAAAAAAUUUAUAAUUAUAAUUUUAGCCCUAGGCCUGCCACGCAGGCGCCACGUAAGCAUCAUGCGGACAGGACCGGGGCCCGUGUGUUAAGUUGAACACGGUGAAUGGUUCACCUGAUUCACCGUGUUUAGUACGUAUUUUUUGUAUAUUGAAAAGAGGAAUAAAGAGUAGAGAUGUCAAUAGGUAUAGAUAUCCGAAAUAUUAUCCGAAUCCAAACCUGAAUAAAUUUUAUAUAUGUAUAAAUUUAUUUUUAUUUAUUUAUACAAUAUAUAAAAUAUUUAAUAAUUUUUAUUUCUUAGAGUUUCAUCCAACGGUAUAGAUUUUUAAAACCCGCUGGGUUCAGGUUCAGGUUUCGAGUUUUUGGUCGGAUAUGAAUAUGGGUAUGAAUUUUUAAAAUCCGCCGGGUUCAGAUCCGGGUUUGGAUUUUAAUUUGAUUUUCAGGUUCGGGUUCGGAUUUUUGAAAAAGAGAAGAAAAGAAAUACAAAUUUUCUAUUCCUUUUUUCAAUAUACAAAAAAUACGUACUAAAUACGGUGAAUCAUUCACCGUGUUUAACUUAACUACCGCCCCCAGCCCCGCCCGCGUGGUGCUGACGUGGCGCCUGCGUGGCAGGCCUAGGGCUAUUUUUUGCAAAUUAAAUUUUGGUAGGGCUAUUUUUAAAAUAAAACUUUGCCAGGGGGCUAAAUACAAAAAAAGCCCUUUAUCUAAUGAUUGGCGUUAAUCAUUAAUUUCAUAAACUCUCGAGCUGUCAUUAAUUCACUUAAACGUACAGAUACACAGUACCGAGAGUUUCGAUUUUGACUCGAUUCAACCGGUCUUCCGUCAUUUCGAGUAUGACUCAAUCCAACCCGACUUUUCAUUAUUUCAUAUGUGAUUCGACUCAAUUUGAUCUUUUGUCACGGAAUAAAAUACUGGCCGAUUUAAACCAACAAUAACUAGUCUCAUCAUUUUUUUCUUUUCACUAAAAACUAAAAGC